GAUGAACGCUGGCGGCGUGCCUAAUACAUGCAAGUAGAACGCUGAAGGAAGGAGCUUGCUCUUUCCGGAUGAGUUGCGAACGGGUGAGUAACGCGUAGGUAACCUGCCUGGUAGCGGGGGAUAACUAUUGGAAACGAUAGCUAAUACCGCAUAACAGUAGAUGUUGCAUGAUAUCUACUUAAAAGGUGCAAUUGCACCACUACCAGAUGGACCUGCGUUGUAUUAGCUAGUUGGUGAGGUAACGGCUCACCAAGGCGACGAUACAUAGCCGACCGGAGAGGGUGAUCGGCCAAACUGGGACUGAGACACGGCCCAGACUCCUACGGGAGGCAGCAGUAGGGAAUCUUCGGCAAUGGACGGAAGGCUGACCGAGCAACGCCGCGUGAGGGAAGAAGGUUUUCGGAUCGUAAAGCUCUGUUGUAAGGGAAGAACGAGUGUGAGAGUGGAAAGUUCACACUGUGACGGUAUCUUACCAGAAAGGGACGGCUAACUACGUG
RNAcentral lists this ribosomal RNA (497 nucleotides) under uncultured bacterium. RNAcentral describes it as "partial 16S ribosomal RNA". It matches the Rfam family "Bacterial small subunit ribosomal RNA", at positions 28 to 507 of the family's 1533-position model. The record is from RNAcentral.